RNAcentral lists this ribosomal RNA (253 nucleotides) under uncultured bacterium. Its description in RNAcentral is "partial 16S ribosomal RNA". It matches the Rfam family "Bacterial small subunit ribosomal RNA", at positions 524 to 776 of the family's 1533-position model. The record is from RNAcentral.
UACGUAGGGGGCAAGCGUUGUCCGGAUUUAUUGGGCGUAAAGAGCGUGUAGGCGGCCAGAUAGGUCCGUUGUGAAAACUGGAGGCUCAACCUCGAGACGUCGGCGGAAACCAUCUGGCUAGAGUCCGGAAGAGGAGAGUGGAAUUCCUGGUGUAGCGGUGAAAUGCGCAGAUAUCAGGAAGAACACCCGUGGCGAAGGCGGCUCUCUGGGACGGUACUGACGCUGAGACGCGAAAGCGUGGGGAGCGAACAGG